RNAcentral lists this long non-coding RNA (308 nucleotides) under Elaeis guineensis (African oil palm). Its description in RNAcentral is "long non-coding RNA (EGUI_LNC076312)". The record is from RNAcentral. Lineage: Eukaryota; Viridiplantae; Streptophyta; Magnoliopsida; Arecales; Arecaceae.
ACUUUCCGAACCCUAGGUAGAAACCCUAGGGUACACACCAAAAACCCUGCGCCCACUUCUCUCUCCUUUUUCUCUUCUCUCGGUAAAUUUUGAACACUUCAAAAUUUUUCCAGAACCUCCCCACGCCCCUUAUCUUUUCUUUCUUUUUAUUGCCCAUGCCCCCUCCCUUUCUCAUUUUAUAAAACAUCGCAAGAGAUGUUGAAAGCGUGUGAGUGGAUAAGAAGAGGUGGUUGCUCACUUAAAUUAAAAUCAAAUUUGAAUUCAAGUGUCAACCAAUCUUAUCCUCAUCCAUUUGUGCGAGAAAGAAG